This 572-nucleotide ribosomal RNA is filed under the name uncultured bacterium. RNAcentral's name for it is "bacterial SSU rRNA". It matches the Rfam family "Bacterial small subunit ribosomal RNA", at positions 336 to 916 of the family's 1533-position model. The record is from RNAcentral.
CUCCUACGGGAGGCAGCAGCAGGGAAUUUUGCACAAUGGGCGAAAGCCUGAUGCAGCGACGCCGCGUGCGGGAUGAAUGCCUUCGGGUUGUAAACCGCUUUCAGGAGGGACGAAGCGAAAGUGACGGUACCUCCAGAAGAAGCCCCGGCCAACUACGUGCCAGCAGCCGCGGUAAUACGUAGGGGGCGAACGUUGUCCGGAUUUAUUGGGCGUAAAGAGCUCGUAGGCGGCUCAGCAAGUCGGCCGUGAAAACCCGGGGCUCAACCCCGGGACGCCGGUCGAAACUGCUGUGGCUAGGGUCCGGUAGAGGAGAGUGGAAUUCCCGGUGUAGCGGUGGAAUGCGCAGAUAUCGGGAGGAACACCAGUAGCGAAGGCGGCUCUCUGGGCCGGUACCGACGCUGAGGAGCGAAAGCUAGGGGAGCGAACAGGAUUAGAUACCCUGGUAGUCCUAGCCGUAAACGUUGGGCACUAGGUGUGGCGGACUCAUUGACGUCUGCCGUGCCGCAGCUAACGCAUUAAGUGCCCCGCCUGGGGAGUACGGUCGCAAGGCUAAAACUCAAAGGAAUUGACGG